AAAUUCGUCCAAACUCCUUGCUCCAUGCAUAUGCACUUCAUUCCAAGCCCAAUUUUGCUCCUAAAAGCUCCAAAAUGCUCCUUUUUGCAUACUUUGACAAUAAAACCUGAAAUUGCACGAAAAUGACUUUAAACACUAAACUAACUAAGGAAAAACAACAUAAAUGCAUGAGAACAAGCCAAUUAAGUCGCAUAAAAAUGCUCCUAUCAAAUUCCCCCACACUUAGCUUUUGCUAGUCCUCGAGCAAAACAAAGAAACAAAAGAAAAACAAAACGAAACCAAACUACCAAAAACAACCUAAACCUUCCAACGUUUGCCUUAGGGAUUUCCAAUGCACAUGACAUGUUAAAGAUUAUCAUUCCCACAGAAUUGAGUCAAUUUAACACUUAAGCACAUACUUAAUCAUAGUCACUACUUACUAAUUCACA
This 428-nucleotide long non-coding RNA is filed under the name Malus domestica (apple). RNAcentral's name for it is "long non-coding RNA (MDOM_LNC006869)". The record is from RNAcentral. Lineage: Eukaryota; Viridiplantae; Streptophyta; Magnoliopsida; Rosales; Rosaceae.